Molecule: ribosomal RNA, 463 nt
Filed under: uncultured bacterium
Lineage: Bacteria
Description: partial 16S ribosomal RNA
Rfam family: Bacterial small subunit ribosomal RNA
Source: RNAcentral
GACGAACGCUGGCGGCGUGCCUAACACAUGCAAGUCGAACGGUGAACCUCUUCGGAGGGGCUCAGUGGCGAACGGGUGAGUAACACGUUGGCAACCUGCCCCCGGCCCUGGGAUAACUCCAAGAAAUUGGGGCUAAUACCGGAUGUUCACCGCUUCCCGCAUGGGUGGUGGUGAAAAGGGUUUCCGGCUGGGUUUGGGCCCGCGGUCUAUGAGCUUGUUGGUGAGGUAGUGGCCUACAAAGGCGACGACGGGUAGCCGGCCUGGGAGGGUGACCGGCCACAGUGGGACUGGGAAGCGGGCCGGACUGAAACGGCAGGAAUCGGUGGAGAAUUUAGCGCAAUAGGCGGAGGCAUGACGCAAGGCCGCCGCGUGGGGGAUGACGGCUUUCGGGUUGUAAACCUCUUUCAGCAGGGACGAAGCGAAAGUGACGGUACCUGCAGAAGAAGCACCGGCCAACUACGUG